Molecule: ribosomal RNA, 275 nt
Filed under: uncultured bacterium
Lineage: Bacteria
Description: partial 16S ribosomal RNA
Rfam family: Bacterial small subunit ribosomal RNA
Source: RNAcentral
CCGCCGGCGACCGGCGCACGGGUGAGUAACACGUAUGCAACCUGGCCGUGACAGAUGGAUAACCGGGAGAAAUCCCGCCUAAUACAACAUAAUGCCGGGAGGGGACAUCCCCUGGGCCGGCCAAAGGGGGCGACCCCGGUCACGGAUGGGCAUGCGGCGCAUUAGGUAGUUGGUGGGGCAACGGCCCACCAAGCCGACGAUGCGUAGGGGUUCUGAGAGGAAGGUCCCCCACAUUGGAACUGAGACACGGUCCAAACUCCUACGGAAGGCAGCAG